Arachis ipaensis is the source of this 2431-nucleotide long non-coding RNA. RefSeq lists it as uncharacterized. Lineage: Eukaryota; Viridiplantae; Streptophyta; Magnoliopsida; Fabales; Fabaceae. The record is from RefSeq and is a predicted model, not a curated record.
GUUCUUUAAUCUUUCUCUCAAUUCUGAUUUUUGUGCUCCCAAUUUGUGUUCUAUCACAACCUGGUGCUUUUUCUCAAUUCUUUUUGGUUCAAUAUACAUUGCUAAAAUUCAAUUGUGACUGUUAUUCUGAAAUAUUAUUUGAUAGGAUGAAUUAGGAUUAUUAGAUACGAAAUUGAGCUUUGCUUUUUCUCCUUUAUUUAACGGUUAUAGAUAGAAGUAGGAGGUGAUUCUAUUUUGAGUGAAGUUAGAAGUAAAGUUAUACCUAAGGCUGCAACAUUUGUUAGACAGAAGUUUCAUUGGUUGGAUUAGGUUUGAGAUUUAUAGCUAUUAUACAUUUAUAAAACUGUUUUGACAUGGAUGAAUUAAGAUUUUUGUUUAUAUUUGAUGUAAAUCUUGUAUUGCCUUUAAUUUUCUAUAUUUAGUGAGUUAAAUGUAAUCUUAGCUGAUUGAAUGUUAAGGAUCUUAUCUUCUUCUAAUUAGGUGUGGUUUUAAAUUGUAUAAUUUUUAUUUUUUGGCUCUGUUUUAAUUUUUAUGGUUUAAAGCCUUAUUCAAAUCGAAUAUAUGUUUGAUGAAGUGAAAAAAAGCCUCUGCAUCUUGCAUUCCUUACGUCAAAGCCUUCUUGUUGAUACUGUCUCUGAGUCCUUGCUCUAUUCCUUCUUAUACAUAACUUCGGGUAGGUUGUAGGCAUGGUUAGAUUUGACAUAGUUAUUCUAAUGAAUGGUUGUAAUUAGGAUUUAGGUAUUAUUAAAUUGAUAAAAAUUAUUAGUAAACACAUGUUAAGUAGUUAAAUAGUUAAUACACACAUGUAGAGCAUCAAAUUGAGGAAUUGAGAUACAAACAAUGAAGCCACCAACACGCAGUGCCAAACUGACCCUUAUUACCAUCCAACAUGUUUCUCUAAUUUUGGCAUUUGCCACACAUUCUACUAUUACCCGGAAUUAAAUAAUGAGCUGUAUUCACCAAGGUAGUGAACGUGAUCAUGAUCAUCAUCAUAGAUACCGUGCACAUUAUAUAUAUCUAUGUUGGUAGUUAGCAACAGUAACUUUUUUGAUAUCUUGGGGUAGGGGGCUAAGAUGAAGGACAGGAUACCUGUAUAUAUAUCAUAUAAUUUUCCCUUGCUUUCUCAUCAAUUCUUCCCCCGCCAUGCACUCACUUUUCAUGAACAAUAAUGUUCCAAAUAUACAUACAAAUCACUUGUCAUAUAAUCAGAGAAAAGGUUUAUUAAGGCAUGAUUAAAUAUAAUUAAAUUAAUUCACUUGAUCAACUAAUAUUGCUGUCCAAAUUAAAGUGGCAAUCACUACGUAUCUCCCACCUGCAAUGAAUUUGAAUUAUCUAAAAUUGUUAAUUUUAAAAAUUAAUUUUUUUCAAGUUUAAAAAUUUCUGUGUUUUCUUGAUUUAUCCCUCCUUCUCAAGGUUUAGAAAAGCCUUUAAAAAUGAAUUAUCUAAAGUUAAACUACUUGAUAAUCAGAAAUGCGAUAACAGAUCAAACAUAUAUCAACAGGCAUACAUACGCAUUAUUUGACAGUAAAAUAUAUGGGCUUUUAGAACUGCUAUCAAAUUAAUUAAUUACUUUGAUAUGAUGGUACUUAGAAUAGAAUGUUAAAUUCGAAUGCAUAUCAAUUUUGUGUGAUACUUUCAUUUGUCUAACCUCAAUUUUUCUUUCAUUUAUAAUUGGUUUCUUUGAGUUAGAGGAUCUUGCAAAGCCCUCACCUGAAGAAGAUCUGUUUCCCCUUGUAAUAUGUGCUGAAACAAGGUCUUUUUCCUUAUGAAUUAUUUGUCAAGAUUUAUAACUCGAACAAGGGGGAGUUUAGCCCAUUUGGUUUUAUAAAUUGUGGGAACAGCUGUUAUGCCAAUACUCUACUCCAGUGCUUAGAAUUUACACCAUCUCUGACUGUAUAUUUUCUUCGAGGACUACAUUCUAAAACAUGUGCAAAUAAAAAAUGUUUCAACUAUGAGUUUGAAAGUUUGAUUUUGAAGUCAAAGGAUACAAAAUAUCCACUCUCUCCUAAUGACAUACUCUCCCAACUAAGGAGUACCGGAAGUCAACUUGGUAAUGGCAAAGAAGAAGAUGCACAUGAAUUUCUAAGGCAUGUCAUUGACACAAUGCAAUCUGUUUGCCUUAUGGAUGCUGGGGUUGAUGUAUCUGGCUCAUUAGAAGAGGACACUACUUUAAUUGGUCUAACAUUCGGGGGCUAGUUUGGAUCAAAGAUAAAAUGCAUGAAAUAUGGAGAAAAAUCUCAGCGUUAAGAAAGGAUAAUGGAUCUUAUCGUUGAGAUAGAAGGGGACAUAGCAAGCCUGCAGGAAGUUCAUUUUGAGUUUAUAGGCUUGUAGUACCUUUUGUUGUUUAAUUUUAUAACAUGAUUUAUUAUUUUUCAAGAGAAAUUUGUGUAUUAAUAUUUUGAGUUUAAUAAAAUAUCUCAUUUUGUAGUAA